Bombus pascuorum is the source of this 2376-nucleotide RNA transcript. It is a transcript of the gene named trans-1,2-dihydrobenzene-1,2-diol dehydrogenase-like, with no coding region annotated. The record is from RefSeq and is a predicted model, not a curated record. The transcript is spliced from 7 exons. Lineage: Eukaryota; Metazoa; Arthropoda; Insecta; Hymenoptera; Apidae.
UAUAGCAAACAUGUAAGUGUAUAGCCAACACAAGCGUUGUCAUUGUCAUGCCUGAUUAGAUAAGGAUGGAAGAUAUCUUUAUGUAGCGUUCUUUCUACUCCUAUAUCGCAUCCACUUACACGUUAACUUAAGACUAUAUGACUCGCGUACUCUAACUUUAUAUAUCUAUGGUUAUAACAGACAUUUAUUGCAGUCUCAUAGUUGUUCGAAAUGUCGAGUUUCAGGACAUAUCUAACAAUCAUCGAAAUGGAAAGAUAGGUAGUAUUUCUGUACUUCUAUCAAAUUUACUAUUAAUAAAUUGAACACUUUAAACACUCCAUCCACUAUGUAAACCUCUAUUAUAUACUUGUGUUAGUAUGACAUAUUUUUUAUCUUCUAAUCUAUAAUCAAAGAGGAAAUUUCCUAUCUGCCGUGACGUCUAUAUCUUAUAAAAAGGUUAUUUGAAAGUUAGAGGUUUUCACGUUCGUGUUCUAUGUAUGCCUGUAGCGCUUAAAGUUCUAAAACAGACAACAAUUUAAAUAUCUGUGCAGGUCACAUUUUAUGAACAUUCAGACUGGUCUUCUUCGUCCAUUGUUUGUUCUGGAUUUAUGUUACAUGUUGAUGGUUAAUGGUUCUGAUUGGAUGUGUGGAAUGUCUAUUCAUUGGGGUAUAGCAGGUGCUGGAAAAAUAUCACAUGAUUUUGUAACAUGCUUACGAACACUACCAGAAUCUGAACAUGUAGUUCUUGCAGUAGCAGCACGUGAAUUAUCAAGGGCACAGAACUUUUCUAGCUUACAUAAAAUUAAAAAGGCGUUCGACAAUUAUAUAGAGCUAGCGGAAGACAAGAAUAUCGAUGUCGUAUAUAUUGGAACGUUACAUCCUCAACAUUUCGACAUUGCAAAAUUAAUGUUAAAUCAUGGGAAACAUGUUCUAUGUGAAAAACCUUUAACUAUGAAUUUGAAGCAAACAACAGAGUUGAUAAAUUUAGCAAAGGAGAAGAAGUUGUUCUUAAUGGAAGGUAUUUGGAGUAGAUGUUUUCCUAUAUAUGAAACUCUUAAAAAAGAAAUUGAAUCCGGAAGUAUUGGAGAUGUUCAUCAAGUUCUUGUAUCGUUCGGAUUUAGAAUGCCAGAUGUUCAACGACUCAACAUAAAAAGUCUAGGAGGAGGUACCGUAUUGGACUUGGGCGUAUAUGGAAUACAAUUUGCUUGUUUAAUAUUUAAUAACGAAAUACCUCAUACUGUACAAGCUGCUGGGUGCUUAAAUGAAGAGGGAGUUGAUCAAUCUGUAUCUACUACCUUUCUUUACAAAGGAAACCGUACUGCAACCAUUAUUACUCACUGUCUAGUUGAUUUACCGAAUGAAGCUUACAUCAUUGGUACAAAAGGAAUGAUAAAAGUUCCGAACUUUUGGUGUCCUACAACGAUCGAAUUGCCAAGUGGUAAAAUAAAUAUACCACUUCCUGAAACUGAAUAUAAGUUUAAUUUUAUUAACAGCAUUGGAUUUAUUUAUGAAGCUAAUGAAGUUCGCAAUUGCAUCUUAGCAGGUGUAACCGAAAGCUCUAAAGUACCGCACAAUGUUUCUUUAUUAGUUGCACAAUUAGAGGACGAAAUUCGAAGGCAAGUUGGAGUUACGUAUCUUGAAGAUUAAACAUUAUCAUAGACGAAAUAAUUCCAACGUAGUUAAAAUAUACUGAAUAGUGUGUAAUUACAUUAAUGUUUCAUAUCACAACUUCAGAGAAGCUUUCUUAUAUACACAUAUAUGUAUAUAUAAAAGCUGUUUGCCCUAUACAAGAAAUAUAUACAAUAUAACUACAAACAGUAUGGAACGUAAGAAAAUAUUGGUCACGACUAUCAUAACUGAAUUUUACGUCUUCAGAUCGAUGGAAAUCUAUCAAAAGAAUAUUCCGCAAAAUGAUCCUUUAUUGUGGAACUCAAAUUCGUAUCUUUUUUCAUUGGAUGUUUUUCAUUUUCUUAUCGUGUAGAGGCUAGACCUGAACGAAUUGUGUCGCGACCUGAUCAUUCUUUAAAAUAUUUCUCAUAAAAUACUAUAGUUCUCUAAAAAUACUAUAAAAGUUCCAUUAGUAUUUAAGCUAACAUUUUACAUUAUUUUAUUACAAUAAUAUAGAAUCCGAAGAAUAAUCCAGAGCUACGGAGAACCUUCAAAUUGAAUCCGUAAUUUUCUAUCAGAAAGUACAUCUUCGAUUUCUUCGUUGAACAUUACUUGCUAACAACUCUUCGGUGAAAAAACACUUGCUAUCAAUUCUUUGGUCAGAACACAUUUUAACUUGUUAUCCAGACUUCGGUAAGAACACUACAACAUCUUUUCGAUCGCAACAUUCACAAACAUUUAUAUUAUUCAAAAGCUGUUGGAAAUAAAUAGUGAUAUUUAAACUGUGAA